AUUGAACGCUGGCGGCAUGCCUUACACAUGCAAGUCGAACGGUAACAGGUCUUCGGAUGCCGACGAGUGGCGAACGGGUGAGUAAUACAUCGGAACGUGCCUAGUAGUGGGGGAUAACUACUCGAAAGAGUGGCUAAUACCGCAUGAGAUCUACGGAUGAAAGCAGGGGAUCGAAAGACCUUGUGCUACUAGAUCGGCCGAUGGCAGAUUAGGUCGUUGGUGGGAUAAAAGCUUACCAAGCCGACGAUCUGUAGCUGGUCUGAGAGGCCGAUCAGCCACACUGGGACUGAGACACGGCCCAGACUCCUACGGGAGGCAGCAGUGGGGAAUUUUGGACAAUGGGCGCAAGCCUGAUCCAGCAAUGCCGCGUGCAGGAUGAAGGCCUUCGGGUUGUAAACUGCUUUUGUACGGAACGAAAAGACCUGGGUUAAUACCCUGGGGUCAUGACGGUACCGUAAGAAUAAGCACCGGCUAACUACGUGCCAGCCGCCGCGGUAA
RNAcentral lists this ribosomal RNA (498 nucleotides) under uncultured bacterium. Its description in RNAcentral is "partial 16S ribosomal RNA". It matches the Rfam family "Bacterial small subunit ribosomal RNA", at positions 30 to 523 of the family's 1533-position model. The record is from RNAcentral.